Molecule: unclassified non-coding RNA, 346 nt
Filed under: soil metagenome
Description: partial contains 5.8S ribosomal RNA, internal transcribed spacer 2, and large subunit ribosomal RNA
Rfam family: 5.8S ribosomal RNA (bases 1-120)
Source: RNAcentral
GAUGAAGAACGUAGCAAAAUGCGAUAAGUAAUGUGAAUUGCAGAAUUCAGUGAAUCAUCGAAUCUUUGAACGCACAUUGCGCCCGCUGGUAUUCCGGCGGGCAUGCCUGUUCGAGCGUCAUUUCAACCCUCAAACCCCCGGGUUUGGUGUUGGGGAUCGGCUCUGCCUCACGGCGGUGCCGCCCCCGAAAUACAUUGGCGGUCUCGCUGCAGCCUCCAUUGCGUAGUAGCUAACACCUCGCAACUGGAACGCGGCGCGGCCAUGCCGUAAAACCCCAACUUCUGAGUGUUGACCUCGGAUCAGGUAGGAAUACCCGCUGAACUUAAGCAUAUCAAUAAGCGGAGGA